CAUUGCGCUAACUGUAAGUCGCUCUGGAUAAGAGCGUCUGCUAAAUUACUAAAA
Salmo salar (Atlantic salmon) is the source of this 54-nucleotide non-coding RNA. The record is from Rfam. NCBI's taxonomy places the organism in Eukaryota, Metazoa, Chordata, Actinopteri, Salmoniformes, Salmonidae.